Long non-coding RNA from Mustela erminea (ermine), 1540 nucleotides. RefSeq lists it as uncharacterized. The transcript is spliced from 3 exons. Lineage: Eukaryota; Metazoa; Chordata; Mammalia; Carnivora; Mustelidae. The record is from RefSeq and is a predicted model, not a curated record.
AUAAAACCCUCAGACACAAACUAGAUGAAGAAAGGAAUUCACUGGUGCACAUAACUGAAAAAUCCAGGGGUUCCAUGCCUAACAUGGAGCCCAGUGUGGACCCCAGUGUGGAACCCAAUGUGGGGCUUGGACCCAUAUACCAAGGUCAAGACCUGAACGGAGAUCAAGAGUCGGAUGCUUAACCAGCUGAGCCACCCAGGGCUGUUGUUUGGAAGGUGGUUGGCUGAAAUCCUCAACUAAAACCCUAAAUGGUGGAUUUUCCUAUGCUGUCAAUACCGAAGAAGUUGGGACUAGAACACUCCCAGCUCUUACGUCCUACACUUUUUUAUGAGCUUUAUGCCUUUUUUGCUUUUGCCCCUGUUAUGUAGCUACCACAUGAUAUUGUCCCCCAGACCCUUUUCUCCUCUGGUUACUUCUUGAAGUCACUGUUAAACCUUUAACAGUGAGGCACUUAGGAAGAAAGAGAAACUUUCAAAGUGGGAGAAUGGGAGCAGUUCAUUCACUGUUCAAUAAAUACUUGUAGAUUUCUUACCAUGUGUUGGACUAACCACCAAGAGACAGACUAACCAAAUUAUCAUAAGCAUGACUAUAAAGACCCGUGCUAGGAAGUUUCCCUAUAACAGAGGACUGAAGACCUGACCGAAGAGUCCCAACAAGCUUCUCUCAGGAAGAACCAAUACCUGAGCUGAGAUCUGAGGAGGAACAAGGGUUGCAAAGUGAAAGAAGGUAGGGGGGCAAAAUCAUUCCAGGAAGAACAACAAACAUUCCCAGGGGGCCUGUAGCAGGAGGAAGCUCAGUGUGUUCAGGAGCUGGGUGGCAAGCGGAUACAUCCCCCAAGGUAGUUAGGAGAAAACAGACAGAACCGGGUAAUGAUUUGGAUAACUGGAGAUAGUUCUCUCUCUUGCUACGCUCUUCCUCCCUCUUUUUUUCCUAGCAGAGAAUACUUUAGCCAGGCAUUGUUUUAGCACUUUAUAUGUAUUAACUCAACAAUAGCCAAGUGAGUAUGUGGUAGAAUACAUGAACUCAUGACCCUACUGGAAAACCUCCUCUUAGACCUUUUCUGCCCCUCCAUACACUGAGCUAUCCUUAAGAUAGCAGACAGUUUUUGUAGGGGCAAGCCCAGGAUUAUUUGAGAAAAGAAACAAACAAGCAAAAAAGAUAAGGGUAUAUAAAUACGUUUUGCUCAUGCUGAGUCCCAAGGCAUGGGACUUAAGGAGAAAACUACUGAAAACCACAACCCAUUCAUGUGUUAUUUAUUUAAUGGUGAUGUAUAAUAUUUAUUGAGUGCAUAUUGUGCCAAGUACUGUUCUGAAUACUCCCAAAUAUUAGUUUAUUUAAUCUUCACACCUACGUCAUUUUUAUGGCUAUUUUACAAAUUAGAAAACCAAGAGAGAUCUCCAAAGAUGUACAGUUUUCAGCAUUGAUGGGAAGUGGGCACGGAUCCCACCACCGGGUAGUCUGUCUUCCAAGUACUAGGCAUCACUUGCUCAUUUGCAUGACUGUCAAAGCCUGCUACCUCCUAAAAUCAUUCUCUUCCUUC